CAUGCCGCGUGAGUGAUGAAGGCCUUCGGGUUGUAAAGCUCUUUCGCACGCGACGAUGAUGACGGUAGCGUGAGAAGAAGCCCCGGCUAACUUCGUGCCAGCAGCCGCGGUAAUACGAAGGGGGCUAGCGUUGUUCGGAAUUACUGGGCGUAAAGGGCGCGUAGGCGGCUUAUCAAGUCAGGCGUGAAAGCCCCGGGCUUAACCUGGGAACUGCGCUUGAGACUGGUAGGCUAGAGUACCGGAGAGGUGGGUGGAAUUCCCAGUGUAGAGGUGAAAUUCGUAGAUAUUGGGAAGAACACCGGUGGCGAAGGCGGCCCACUGGACGGUAACUGACGCUGAGGCGCGAAAGCGUGGGGAGCAAACAGGAUUAGAUACCCUGGUAGUCCACGCCGUAAACGAUGUCGGCUAGACGUUGGGGCCCUUAGGGUUUCAGUGUCGCAGCUAACGCAUUA
Molecule: ribosomal RNA, 452 nt
Filed under: Azospirillaceae bacterium
Lineage: Bacteria; Pseudomonadati; Pseudomonadota; Alphaproteobacteria; Rhodospirillales; Azospirillaceae
Description: bacterial SSU rRNA
Rfam family: Bacterial small subunit ribosomal RNA
Source: RNAcentral